UCCCUUCACCCCCUCUUCCCCCAGGACCCCAUAAAUUGGAGCCCACUUAACUAAAGAUUUACCAAUAAAUUAAUAAAUA
Long non-coding RNA from Melitaea cinxia (Glanville fritillary), 79 nucleotides. RefSeq lists it as uncharacterized. The record is from RefSeq and is a predicted model, not a curated record. The transcript is spliced from 3 exons. NCBI's taxonomy places the organism in Eukaryota, Metazoa, Arthropoda, Insecta, Lepidoptera, Nymphalidae.